UGUGCGAAGGUAGCAUAAUCAGUAGUCUUUUAAUUGGAGGCUGGAAUGAAGGGUCGGACAAGGGGGAAGCUGUCUUUUUUACAAUUUUUGAAUUUUACUUUUAAGUGAAAAGGCUUAAAUGGGUUGGGGGGACGAUAAGACCCUAUAAAAUUUUACAAAAUUAGGAUUUUUUUUUAAAUUAAGGUUUAAAUUCUAUAAGUUCUUGUUUGUUGUGUUGGGGCGGCAAAGAUAAAAAUUAGUAACUGUCAUUUAAUUAGAAUAAGUAUAAUUAGUUUAGUUGAUCCUUUAUUAGAGAUUAAAAGAUUAAGUUACUUUAGGGAUAACAGCGUAAUUUUCCCUGAGAGUUCUUAUCGACGGGAGUAGUUGCGACCCCGAA
This 376-nucleotide ribosomal RNA is filed under the name Pandalus hypsinotus. RNAcentral's name for it is "partial 16S ribosomal RNA". It matches the Rfam family "Bacterial large subunit ribosomal RNA", at positions 1947 to 2530 of the family's 2925-position model. Lineage: Eukaryota; Metazoa; Arthropoda; Malacostraca; Decapoda; Pandalidae. The record is from RNAcentral.